ACUACGGGAGGCAGCAGUGGGGAAUAUUGGGCAAUGGGCGCAAGCCUGACCCAGCAACGCCGCGUGAAGGAAGAAGGCUUUCGGGUUGUAAACUUCUUUUGUCAGGGACGAAGCAAGUGACGGUACCUGACGAAUAAGCCACGGCUAACUACGUGCCAGCAGCCGCGGUAAUACGUAGGUGGCAAGCGUUAUCCGGAUUUACUGGGUGUAAAGGGCGUGUAGGCGGGGAAGCAAGUAAGAUGUGAAAACCACGGGCUCAACCUGUGGCCUGCAUUUGAAACUGUUUUUCUUGAGUGCUGGAGAGGCAAUCGGAAUUCCGUGUGGAGCGGUGAAAUGCGUAGAUAUACGGAGGAACACCAGUGGCGAAGGCGGAUUGCUGGACAGUAACUGACGCUGAGGCGCGAAAGCGUGGGGAGCAAACAGGAUUAGAUACCCUUGUAGUC
RNAcentral lists this ribosomal RNA (443 nucleotides) under uncultured bacterium. RNAcentral describes it as "partial 16S ribosomal RNA". It matches the Rfam family "Bacterial small subunit ribosomal RNA", at positions 338 to 795 of the family's 1533-position model. The record is from RNAcentral.